Molecule: non-coding RNA, 104 nt
Organism: Ceratobasidium sp. AG-Ba
Lineage: Eukaryota; Fungi; Basidiomycota; Agaricomycetes; Cantharellales; Ceratobasidiaceae
Source: the annotation of a GenBank genome assembly
GCCGCGGUAGCUCAGUUGGGAGAGCGUUAGACUGAAGUUCCUUCCGGUGAACCCGGAUUGAAUUUGGAAUCUACAGGUCACCCGUUCAAGCCGGGUUCGUGGCA